This 377-nucleotide ribosomal RNA is filed under the name uncultured Planctomycetota bacterium. RNAcentral describes it as "bacterial SSU rRNA". It matches the Rfam family "Bacterial small subunit ribosomal RNA", at positions 29 to 423 of the family's 1533-position model. The record is from RNAcentral. Lineage: Bacteria; Pseudomonadati; Planctomycetota.
GUGAACGUUGGCGGCGUGGAUUAGGCAUGCAAGUCGAGCGAGAACCGUAGCAAUACGGGGACAGCGGCGAAAGGGACAGUAAUGUGUAGGUACCUACCCCGAGGUCUGGGAUAGCUGCGGGAAACUGCAGGUAAUACCGGAUAAUGUCUUCGGACCAAAGGUGUGAUUCCACCUUGGGAGGGGCCUGCAUCCUAUUAGCUUGUUGGCGGGGUAACGGCCCACCAAGGCGACGAUGGGUAGCGGGUGUGAGAGCACGACCCGCGUCAUUGGGACUGAGAUACUGCCCAGACACCUACGGGUGGCUGCAGUCGAGGAUCUUCGGCAAUGGGCGCAAGCCUGACCGAGCGACGCCGCGUGCGGGAUGAAGGCCUUCGGGU